GGGGUUGAAAUGGUUUCGACGUUUUAGUAUAUAUCUUCUUACAAGC
RNAcentral lists this non-coding RNA (46 nucleotides) under Mesostigma viride. Lineage: Eukaryota; Viridiplantae; Streptophyta; Mesostigmatophyceae; Mesostigmatales; Mesostigmataceae. The record is from RNAcentral.